RNAcentral lists this ribosomal RNA (1674 nucleotides) under Sundasalanx sp. Chao Phraya. Its description in RNAcentral is "16S rRNA". The stretch from base 95 to 1594 matches the Rfam family "Bacterial large subunit ribosomal RNA". Lineage: Eukaryota; Metazoa; Chordata; Actinopteri; Clupeiformes; Clupeidae. The record is from RNAcentral.
ACUAAAAAACUAGCUCAAACAACACAACAACCCACCCAAUAUAAGCCAAUUUCAAAAGAACAAAAACCAUAAAUUAAAUCAUUUGACCUCCCCAGUAAGGGCGACUGAAAAGGAAAAUUGAAGCUAUAGACACAGUACCGCAAGGGAAAGCUGAAAGAGAAAUGAAAAAAAUCACUCAAGUAAAUAAAAGCAGAGACUAUCCCUCGUACCUUUUGCAUCAUGAUCUAGUCAGUUUACCCAAGCAUAGAGAACUCUAGUUUGACACCCCGAAACCUGCACGAGCUACUCCGAGACAGCCUUCUGGGCCAACCCGUCUCUGUGGCAAAAGAGUGGGAAGAGCUCUGAGUAGAGGUGAAAGACCUAUCGAGUCAGGUAAUAGCUGGUUGCCCGAGAAAUGAAUAGAAGUUCAGCUCCGCCGCACCCCCAAUCCAAAAGUUCAACUUACAAAGACCACGGGCUAGUGAUGGAAGUUAGUUAGGGAGGGUACAGCUUCCCUAACAAAGGACACAACCUUACCAGAAAGCUAAGGGAUACAUCCAACUCAAGGCUACAGGCUUCAGUGGGCCUGAAAGCAGCCAUCUGAAUAGAAAGCGUUAAAGCUCAAACCUCUCCUAGCCUAUCAUUUUAUUAACCUCCCCUACGCUCCUAAAAAUAUCGAGCCCUUUUAUGUACCUAUAAAAUAUACCAUGCUAGAACGAGUAAUAAGAAGAAUGACCUUCUCCAAGCACAAGCGUAAGUCGGAUCGGACUCUCCACCGACAAUUAACGGCCCCAAAAACAGAGGGACCUGCACCCAGCCCCCAAAGCAAGAAAAACACACAUCUUCACCCCGUUACCCUUACACAAGAGUGCAUACCUAAAGGAAAGACUUAAAGGAAGAAAAGGAACUCGGCAAACUUAAACCUCGCCUGUUUACCAAAAACAUCGCCUCCUGCCCACCCCCGUAUAGGAGGUCCCGCCUGCCCCGUGACUAAAGUUUAACGGCCGCGGUAUUUUAACCGUGCGAAGGUAGCGCAAUCAAUUGUCUUUUAAAUGAAGACCUGUAUGAAUGGCAAAACGAGGGUUUAACUGUCUCUUUACCCCAGUCAAUGAAACUGAUCUGCUCGUGCAGAAGCGAGCAUGCCUACGUAAGACGAGAAGACCCUAUGGAGCUUUAAAUGUUAACCAACUCUCAAACAAGGACACAAUAAAUGCCCUAAGAAAACAGAACUAUGGCACAAACAUUUUCGGUUGGGGCGACCGCGGGAAUACAAUAAAACUCCCGAGUGGACAGGGACAAACCCCUGAAACCAAGAACUACCGUUCUAAGGCACAAAAAUUUUGACCAACAAUGAUCCGGCCAAGGCCGAUCAACGGACCAAGUUACCCUAGGGAUAACAGCGCAAUCCUCUCCCAGAGUCCAUAUCGACGAGAGGGCUUACGACCUCGAUGUUGGAUCAGGACAUCCUGAUGGCGCAGCCGCUAUCAAGGGUUCGUUUGUUCAACGAUUAAAGUCCUACGUGAUCUGAGUUCAGACCGGAGUAAUCCAGGUCAGUUUCUAUCUACGGAGCCUUCCUUCCUAGUACGAAAGGACCGGAACGAAGAGGCCAAUACUUCAAGCACGCCUCACCCCCACCUAAUGAAAACAACUAAAUUAGCCAAAGGGGGGCCCACCCCGGCCCAAGACAAGGGCCAU